AUUUCCUUUUUCUCGUUGACAAUUUGGCCUGAGAUGGAUGUUUAGCCUGGGAUCAGAGGUUUUGAUUUUUGGGACAUACGAACAUUCCUUCAGAAUGAUGUAGACGUUUACGACAUGGGAACGGCGGAAGAAGUGGAGGAGGAACGAGAUUAAAAAUAUAAUUCCGCGGUGAUGGCGCAGGUCGAUCACCAGUUAUCUAGUAGAAAUAGGAAAACAGAAUUAAGGUAGUUUGGUUGGCGGGAGUAGCCAAGACUGAUAACGUCGACUCAUUCAGAAGCAGCAGGCGAUUUCAGCAAGUUGUGAGGGAGCCGCUUUCUGAACAUUUUCGUCUCUGCGGACCAACAAGUAUGCUGCCAUCAUGCCAUCAUAUUCCGAGUGCAUGUCUUCGUCUGCAGGCGACCUUGAGUGAUAAUUGCCGAUCAGCACGGAAGGACGACGGGCGCGCGUUCUUAGUGGUUGAUUUAGUUGGUAGUUGUGGUUAUUUAUCUAACGUUCCCCCCUCCCGCCCUAGAUCUUAAAUGAAGAAGAAGCUUCCGUCGUAUGUACUCUGUACGGACCCUG
This 561-nucleotide small RNA is filed under the name Cryptococcus neoformans H99. RNAcentral's name for it is "Cryptococcus neoformans var. grubii H99 hypothetical RNA". The record is from RNAcentral. Lineage: Eukaryota; Fungi; Basidiomycota; Tremellomycetes; Tremellales; Cryptococcaceae.